This 301-nucleotide ribosomal RNA is filed under the name uncultured bacterium. RNAcentral's name for it is "partial 16S ribosomal RNA". It matches the Rfam family "Bacterial small subunit ribosomal RNA", at positions 509 to 807 of the family's 1533-position model. The record is from RNAcentral.
CAGUCGCCACGGGAAUACGUAGGUGGCAAGCGUUGUCCGGAAUUAUUGGGCGUAAAGCGUCUGUAGGUGGCUUUUCAAGUCCGCCGUCAAAUCCCAGGGCUCAACCCUGGACAGGCGGUGGAAACUACCAAGCUGGAGUAUGGUAGGGGCAGAGGGAAUUUCCAGUGGAGCGGUGAAAUGCGUUGAGAUCGAAAAGAACACCAACAGCGAAAGCACUCUGCUGGGCCGACACUGACACUGAGAGACGAAAGCUAGGGGAGCAAAUGGGAUUAGAUACCCCAGUAGUCCCUGUCUCUUAUAC